CCUACGGGUGGCAGCAGUGAGGAAUAUUGGUCAAUGGUCGGGAGACUGAACCAGCCAAGCCGCGUGAGGGAUGAAGGUACAGAGUAUCGUAAACCUCUGUUGUCAGGGAACAAAGGCGGGGACGUGUCCCCGGAGGAGUGUACCUGAAGAAAAAGCAUCGGCUAACUCCGUGCCAGCAGCCGCGGUAAUACGGAGGAUGCGAGCGUUAUCCGGAUUUAUUGGGUUUAAGGGGGGCGCAGGCGGUCUGUUAAGUCAGCGGUCAAAGCCCGGGGCUCAACCCCGGCCCGCCGUUGAAACUGGCAGUCUCGAGUUGGAGAGAAGGAUGCGGAAUGCGCGGUGUAGCGGUGAAAUGCAUAGAUAUCGCGCAGAACUCCGAUUGCGAAGGCAGCAUGCCGGCUCCACACUGACGCUGAGGCACGAAAGCGUGGGUAUCGAACAGGAUUAGAUACCCCAGUAGUC
RNAcentral lists this ribosomal RNA (459 nucleotides) under uncultured bacterium. RNAcentral's name for it is "partial 16S ribosomal RNA". It matches the Rfam family "Bacterial small subunit ribosomal RNA", at positions 338 to 795 of the family's 1533-position model. The record is from RNAcentral.